Molecule: ribosomal RNA, 801 nt
Filed under: uncultured Rubrobacter sp.
Lineage: Bacteria; Bacillati; Actinomycetota; Rubrobacteria; Rubrobacterales; Rubrobacteraceae
Description: bacterial SSU rRNA
Rfam family: Bacterial small subunit ribosomal RNA
Source: RNAcentral
AGAGUUUGAUCAUGGCUCAGGACGAACGCUGACGGUGUGCUUUAGGCAUGCAAGUCGAACGAGAAAGCCCUUCGGGGUGAGUAAAGUGGCGAACGGGUGAGUAACACGUGGGCAACCUGCCCCUCGCAGGGGGACAACCGGAGGAAACUCCGGCUAAUACCCCGUACGCUUGUUGGAUCGCAUGGUCCGGCAAGGAAAGGUAGCUUCGGCCAUCCGGCGAGGGAUGGGCCCGCGUUGCAUUAGCUAGUUGGUGGGGUAACGGCCUACCAAGGCGACGAUGCGUAGCUGGUCUGAGAGGAUGAUCAGCCACACUGGGACUGGGACACGGCCCAGACUCCUACGGGAGGCAGCAGCCAGGAAUCUUGGGCAAUGGGCGAAAGCCUGACCCAGCAACACCGUGUGGGUGACGAAGGCCUUAGGGUCGUAAAGCCCUGUUGAUAGGGACGAAGGGCGAAGGGUUAAUAGCCCCUAGCUUGACGGUACCUUUCGAGGAAGCCCCGGCUAACUACGUGCCAGCAGCCGCGGUAAUACGUAGGGGGCGAGCGUUGUCCGGAAUUAUUGGGCGUAAAGAGCGUGUAGGCGGUUCGGUAAGUCUGCUGUGAAAUCCUGGGGCUCAACCCUGGGCGUGCAGCGGAUACUGCCGGGCUAGAGGGUGGUAGAGGCGAGUGGAAUUCCGAGUGUAGCGGUGAAAUGCGCAGAUAUUCGGAGGAACACCAGUAGCGAAGGCGGCUCGCUGGGCCACACCUGACGCUGAGACGCGAAAGCGUGGGGAGCGAACAGGAUUAGAUACCCUGGUAGUCC